This is a non-coding RNA of Caenorhabditis elegans, 21 nucleotides long. The record is from Ensembl. NCBI's taxonomy places the organism in Eukaryota, Metazoa, Nematoda, Chromadorea, Rhabditida, Rhabditidae.
UUAGUUCAAGUAGUGCUUUCU